RNAcentral lists this ribosomal RNA (572 nucleotides) under Vishniacozyma victoriae. RNAcentral's name for it is "partial large subunit ribosomal RNA". It matches the Rfam family "Eukaryotic large subunit ribosomal RNA", at positions 85 to 647 of the family's 3401-position model. Lineage: Eukaryota; Fungi; Basidiomycota; Tremellomycetes; Tremellales; Bulleribasidiaceae. The record is from RNAcentral.
AACGGCGAGUGAACCGGGAUGAGCUCAAAUUUAAAAUCUGGCGUCUUUCAGGCGUCCGAGUUGUAAUCUAUAGAGGCGUUUUCCGCGCCGGACCGCGUCCAAGUCUCUUGGAAUAGAGUAUCAAAGAGGGUGACAAUCCCGUACUUGACGCGACAACCGGUGCUCUGUGAUACGUUCUCAAUGAGUCGAGUUGUUUGGGAAUGCAGCUCUAAAUGGGUGGUAAAUUCCAUCUAAGGCUAAAUAUUGGCGAGAGACCGAUAGCGAACAAGUACCGUGAGGGAAAGAUGAAAAGCACUUUGGAAAGAGAGUUAAACAGCACGUGAAAUUGUUAAAAGGGAAACGAUUGAAGUCAGUCGUGUGAAAGGUAUUCAGCCGUCUCUGGCGGUGUAUUUGCCUUUCACGGGUCAACAUCAGUUUGAUCCGGUAGAAAAAGGCGGGAGGAAGGUGGCACCCUCGGGUGUGUUAUAGCCUCCUGUCAUAUGUGCCGGACCAGACUGAGGAACGCAGCUUGCCGCAAGGCCGGGGUUCGCCCACGUACAAGCUUAGGAUGUUGACAUAAUGGCUUUAAACGA